UACAGAGGGUGCGAGCGUUGUCCGGAAUCACUGGGCGUAAAGGGCGCGUAGGUGGCUUGGUAAGCGUGUGGUGAAAGUCCGGGGCUCAACCCCGGAUCUGCCAUGCGAACUGCCGAGCUCGAGCAUUGUAGAGGCAGGUGGAAUUUCGGGUGUAGCGGUGGAAUGCGUAGAUAUCCGAAAGAACACCGGUGGCGAAGGCGGCCUGCUGGGCAAUUGCUGACACUGAGGCGCGACAGCGUGGGGAGCAAACAGG
RNAcentral lists this ribosomal RNA (253 nucleotides) under uncultured bacterium. Its description in RNAcentral is "partial 16S ribosomal RNA". It matches the Rfam family "Bacterial small subunit ribosomal RNA", at positions 524 to 776 of the family's 1533-position model. The record is from RNAcentral.